This 492-nucleotide ribosomal RNA is filed under the name uncultured bacterium. RNAcentral's name for it is "partial 16S ribosomal RNA". It matches the Rfam family "Bacterial small subunit ribosomal RNA", at positions 29 to 507 of the family's 1533-position model. The record is from RNAcentral.
AGUGAACGCUGGCGGUAGGCCUAACACAUGCAAGUCGAACGGCAGCACAGUAAGAGCUUGCUCUUACGGGUGGCGAGUGGCGGACGGGUGAGGAAUACAUCGGAAUCUACUUUUUCGUGGGGGAUAACGUAGGGAAACUUACGCUAAUACCGCAUACGACCUACGGGUGAAAGCAGGGGAUCUUCGGACCUUGCGCGAUUGAAUGAGCCGAUGUCGGAUCAGCUAGUUGGCGGGGUAAAGGCCCACCAAGGCGACGAUCCGUAGCUGGUCUGAGAGGAUGAUCAGCCACACUGGAACUGAGACACGGUCCAGACUCCUACGGGAGGCAGCAGUGGGGAAUAUUGGACAAAGGGCGCAAGCCUGAUCCAGCCAUACCGCGUGGGUGAAGAAGGCCUUCGGGUUGUAAAGCCCUUUUGUUGGGAAAGAAAAGCAGCAGGUUAAUACCCCGCUGUUCUGACGGUACCCAAAGAAUAAGCACCGGCUAACUUCGUA